UACAGCCACAGAGGGGGUCUACCAGAAAAUGACCUUCCAGGAGGUGCUGGGGCCCCAGAAAUCCAUGUCGCAGAAAGCCUACCUGAUUAACGUGACGAGCCACAAGAUGAACCAGGUGUUCGGCGCUGCCCAAAUUGCAGUGACAGAGGAGUAGUACGGGCCGAAUCCAUGCAAGAACCUAAUCAAUUACUUUCAGGACGCGUGGAAAGCGAUGGGCCUGCCUGGCUGCCCCACUUUCACGGAUGUGUGGACCUCCAUUGCCAGCCAUGCCAAGUUCACGCACUCAAGCGAGGACCGGCUAAAAAUAUAGAUGUUCAUGUGUUCAUGUGACGGUGGACAAGUUUUUUCGUGACACACCUGUCCACGCAGCAGGCGAUGGAGCACCGCAGGCUCUUUGAGGCUGCCUUAGAGGGUCCGGAGAGGAGCCCACAGAGGCAGGCAACCCCUAAGAAGAGGAAGAGGCCUU
Carassius carassius (crucian carp) is the source of this 466-nucleotide long non-coding RNA. RefSeq lists it as uncharacterized. The record is from RefSeq and is a predicted model, not a curated record. The transcript is spliced from 4 exons. NCBI's taxonomy places the organism in Eukaryota, Metazoa, Chordata, Actinopteri, Cypriniformes, Cyprinidae.